RNAcentral lists this ribosomal RNA (845 nucleotides) under Escherichia coli. RNAcentral describes it as "partial 23S ribosomal RNA". It matches the Rfam family "Bacterial large subunit ribosomal RNA", at positions 342 to 1191 of the family's 2925-position model. Lineage: Bacteria; Pseudomonadati; Pseudomonadota; Gammaproteobacteria; Enterobacterales; Enterobacteriaceae. The record is from RNAcentral.
CUGGAAAGGCGCGCGAUACAGGGUGACAGCCCCGUACACAAAAAUGCACAUAUUGUGAGCUCGAUGAGUAGGGCGGGACACGUGGUAUCCUGUCUGAAUAUGGGGGGACCAUCCUCCAAGGCUAAAUACUCCUGACUGACCGAUAGUGAACCAGUACCGUGAGGGAAAGGCGAAAAGAACCCCGGCGAGGGGAGUGAAAAAGAACCUGAAACCGUGUACGUACAAGCAGUGGGAGCACGCUUAGGCGUGUGACUGCGUACCUUUUGUAUAAUGGGUCAGCGACUUAUAUUCUGUAGCAAGGUUAACCGAAUAGGGGAGCCGAAGGGAAACCGAGUCUUAACUGGGCGUUAAGUUGCAGGGUAUAGACCCGAAACCCGGUGAUCUAGCCAUGGGCAGGUUGAAGGUUGGGUAACACUAACUGGAGGACCGAACCGACUAAUGUUGAAAAAUUAGCGGAUGACUUGUGGCUGGGGGUGAAAGGCCAAUCAAACCGGGAGAUAGCUGGUUCUCCCCGAAAGCUAUUUAGGUAGCGCCUCGUGAAUUCAUCUCCGGGGGUAGAGCACUGUUUCGGCAAGGGGGUCAUCCCGACUUACCAACCCGAUGCAAACUGCGAAUACCGGAGAAUGUUAUCACGGGAGACACACGGCGGGUGCUAACGUCCGUCGUGAAGAGGGAAACAACCCAGACCGCCAGCUAAGGUCCCAAAGUCAUGGUUAAGUGGGAAACGAUGUGGGAAGGCCCAGACAGCCAGGAUGUUGGCUUAGAAGCAGCCAUCAUUUAAAGAAAGCGUAAUAGCUCACUGGUCGAGUCGGCCUGCGCGGAAGAUGUAACGGGGCUAAACCAUG